This 27-nucleotide non-coding RNA is filed under the name Homo sapiens (human). Lineage: Eukaryota; Metazoa; Chordata; Mammalia; Primates; Hominidae. The record is from RNAcentral.
UGGUAAUGGAGAAUCACUCAAGGCAGC